CCUACGGGUGGCUGCAGUGGGGAAUAUUGGACAAUGGGCAAAAGCCUGAUCCAGCAACGCCGCGUGCGCGAUGACGGCCUUCGGGUUGUAAAGCGCUUUUAGGAGAGAUGAGAAAGGACAGUAUCUCCAGAAUAAGCCUCGGCGAACUACGUGCCAGCAGCCGCGGUAAAACGUAGGAGGCAAGCGUUAUCCGGAUUUAUUGGGCGUAAAGCGUGUGCAGGCGGUUUGGUAAGUUGGAUGUGAAAGCUCCCGGCUUAACUGGGAGAGGUCGUUCAAAACUGCCAGACUAGAGAAUGGAAGAGGGAGGUGGAAUUCCGGGUGUAGUGGUGAAAUGCGUAGAUAUCCGGAGGAACACCAGUGGCGAAAGCGGCCUCCUAGGCCAUUUCUGACGCUCAGACACGAAAGCUAGGGUAGCAAACGGGAUUAGAUACCCCAGUAGUC
RNAcentral lists this ribosomal RNA (441 nucleotides) under uncultured Anaerolineaceae bacterium. RNAcentral's name for it is "bacterial SSU rRNA". It matches the Rfam family "Bacterial small subunit ribosomal RNA", at positions 338 to 795 of the family's 1533-position model. Lineage: Bacteria; Bacillati; Chloroflexota; Anaerolineae; Anaerolineales; Anaerolineaceae. The record is from RNAcentral.